This is a non-coding RNA of Arachis ipaensis, 606 nucleotides long. Lineage: Eukaryota; Viridiplantae; Streptophyta; Magnoliopsida; Fabales; Fabaceae. The record is from RefSeq and is a predicted model, not a curated record.
GUAUAAGGGUUUGAAGAUAGCAAGAGAGAAGUAUGUUGGUAAUGAGAAGGCUCAAUAUGGAAAGCUUAGAGAUUACCUACAAGAACUACACAGAAGCAAUCAUGGUUCAACUGCUCUGUUAGCAGUGGAGCCUAUUCCCCAGUCCCCUCCACUGUUUGACAAGUUGUAUGUGUGCUUGGAUGCUUGUAAAAAAGGGUUUAGGGCUGGUUGUCGACCGUUGAUAGGGUUAGACAGCUGCUUCCUGAAGGGUUAUUAUGGAGGACAACUGCUGUCGGCGGUAGCACAAGAUGCCAACAAUCAUUUUUAUGUAAUUGCAUACGCAGUGGUUGCUAGUGAGACUAAAGAAAGUUAGAAAUGGUUUCUAGACUUGUUGCAAAAUGACUUAGGCCCUGCUGCAGUUGAAGGGUGGAACUUCAUCAGUGAUCAGCAAAAGGGUCUGAUGUCGGCGAUGAAGGAGGUUAUGCCGAAUGGCCAUCACAGGAACUGUGUUAGGCAUAUAUGGAGGAAUUUCACCAAUAAGUACAAGAGCAAGCAGUUGAAGAAUGUCGUCUGGGCUUGUGCUAAAAGCAAUACGAAGGCAGAGUUCAGAGAGCACAUGAAUAGACU